GACGAACGCUGGCGGCGUGCUUAACACAUGCAAGUCGAACGGAAAGGCCCUGCUUUUGUGGGGUGCUCGAGUGGCGAACGGGUGAGUAACACGUGAGUAACCUGCCCUUGACUUUGGGAUAACUUCAGGAAACUGGGGCUAAUACCGGAUAGGAGCUCCUGCUGCAUGGUGGGGGUUGGAAAGUUUCGGCGGUUGGGGAUGGACUCGCGGCUUAUCAGCUUGUUGGUGGGGUAGUGGCUUACCAAGGCUUUGACGGGUAGCCGGCCUGAGAGGGUGACCGGCCACAUUAGGAGUGAGACACGGACCAAGAUCCUACGGGCGGCAGCAGUGGGGAGUAUUGCGCAAUGGGCGAAAGCCUGAUGCAGGGGAGACGCGGGGGCGAAGAAGUAUUUAGGUAUGUAAAGCUCUAUCAGCAGGGAAGAUAAUGACGGUACCUGACUAAGAGGCACGGGCUAAAUACGUG
RNAcentral lists this ribosomal RNA (463 nucleotides) under uncultured bacterium. RNAcentral describes it as "partial 16S ribosomal RNA". It matches the Rfam family "Bacterial small subunit ribosomal RNA", at positions 28 to 507 of the family's 1533-position model. The record is from RNAcentral.